Humulus lupulus (European hop) is the source of this 1126-nucleotide RNA transcript. It is a transcript of the gene named probable protein phosphatase 2C 61, with no coding region annotated. The transcript has 6 exons. NCBI's taxonomy places the organism in Eukaryota, Viridiplantae, Streptophyta, Magnoliopsida, Rosales, Cannabaceae. The record is from RefSeq and is a predicted model, not a curated record.
UCUCUCUCACACACACUUCCCAACCGCAACCCACCCUUACAUUUCUCUCUUCCUCUCCCUCUCCCUCUCCCUCACGCUCACUCUCUCACUCACUCACUCAACGGUGUGCGAGGGUUUUGGAAACCAGACAAACGACACGAACGACGAGCGGUUGUGGGUAUUGGGCAAACGGCGGGAACUUGGGGGCCGGUCAUGGGCAAACGGCGCAAACAAUACGGGCUCGGGGGUCUUGGGAAAAUGGCGCAAAUGACGGUCGUGGGUGGCUCGGUCUUGCGGAGGGUUCGUGGGUGGCUCGGUCUCACAGAGAGGUCGUGGGUGGUGGCUCUCUCUUUGUUAAUGGAGAAAUGUUUCUUCUUGAAUCGGUCCAGUAGUGCUCUGACUUUUAUGGGUCAUUGAGGCAGGAGAAAAGGCUGUGGCAGAGUCAAGGUCGCCACCAAUGAUUCUGCUUCGGUGGAAGCUAUAGCUGAUGAUUAUUAUGAAGUCUUGGGCCUGCUCCCAGAUGCCACACCAGCACAUAUUAAAAAGGCUUAUUAUAAUUGCAUGAAAGCUUGUCAUCCAGAUUUGAGUGGCAAUGACGCAGAGACCAAUAAUUUCUGCAUGUUUUAAUGAAGUCUAUGGGGUGCUUAGUGACCCCGUUCAGCGCAUGAUUUAUGAUGAAAUUCAUGGCUAUGCAUUGACUGCUAUGAACCCAUUCUUUGAUGAUUCAAGCACGAAGGAUCAUGUUUUUGUUGACGAGUUUAGCUGCAUAGGUUUGGGAUGUGUUGAGCAACGACGAAGUUGCCUCGAUUGCUUGGGAAGCGAAGAGCGAGGAGGGAGCGGUGGUUGAGGCGGCCAUCGGAGCGUGGAAAAGAAAGCCCCCUUAUGCCAAAAUGGACGACUGCACUGUGAUUUGCCUCUUCUUUCAGAAAUAACAUUAUCCUGGCUAAAACUCUACUUGGAUAUAUUAGAGAAACAAGAGAACCAAGGCAACAAGAAAUUCUUCUUCAAGUUGUUGGGUAUUAUUUUCUUUCUUGCUUGUAAGAAUUAUGUACAGUGAGGAUUUGAUGUAUUAUUUACAUUGAGAAUAAUUAUUUUUUAAUGAGAAUUAUAAUGAACUUUUAUUGAGAAUUAUUUAGUCUCAUGGGAA